UCGGGCAGUAGCGCAGCCUGGUAGCGCACUUCACUGGGGGUGAAGGGGUCGUCGGUUCAAAUCCGGCCUGCCCGACCAA
This 79-nucleotide transfer RNA is filed under the name Roseibium sp. TrichSKD4. RNAcentral's name for it is "tRNA-Pro". It matches the Rfam family "tRNA". From Rfam's summary of the family: Transfer RNA (tRNA) molecules are approximately 80 nucleotides in length. Their secondary structure includes four short double-helical elements and three loops (D, anti-codon, and T loops). The record is from RNAcentral. Lineage: Bacteria; Pseudomonadati; Pseudomonadota; Alphaproteobacteria; Hyphomicrobiales; Stappiaceae.